GGGGGGGGGGGGGGGGGGGGGGAGGGGGGGGGGGGCGGGCGGGGGGGGCCUGGUGUGGUGGGGGGCUCGAGGGGGGAACGGGUGGGUAACACGUGAGUAACCUGCCCUUGACUUGGGGAUAACUUCAGGAAACUGGGGCUAAUACCGGAUAGGAGCUCCUGCUGCAUGGUGGGGGUUGGAAAGUUUCGGCGGUUGGGGAUGGACUCGCGGCUUAUCAGCUUGUUGGUGGGGUAGUGGCUUACCAAGGCUUUGACGGGUAGCCGGCCUGAGAGGGUGACCGGCCACAUUGGGACUGAGAUACGGCCCAGACUCCUACGGGAGGCAGCAGUGGGGAAUAUUGCACAAUGGGCGGAAGCCUGAUGCAGCAACGCCGCGUGCGGGAUGACGGCCUUCGGGUUGUAAACCGCUUUCGCCUGUGACGAAGCGUGAGUGACGGUAAUGGGUAAAGAAGCACCGGCUAACUACGUG
Molecule: ribosomal RNA, 468 nt
Filed under: uncultured bacterium
Lineage: Bacteria
Description: partial 16S ribosomal RNA
Rfam family: Bacterial small subunit ribosomal RNA
Source: RNAcentral